CUAAGGCUCCAGAGGAGGCCACGGCUAACUCUGUGCCAGCAGCCGCGGUAAUACAGAGGCGGCAAGCGUUGUUCGGAAUUAUUGGGCGUAAAGAGCACGUAGGCGGCCUUGCAAGUCAGUUGUGAAAGCCUUCCGCUUAACGGAAGAAUGCCAGCUGAUACUACAGGGCUUGAGUACGGGAGGGGAGAGUGGAACCUCUGGCGGAGCGGUGAAAUGCGUAGAUAUCAGAAGGAACGCCGGCGGCGAAAGCGACUCUCUGGCCCGAAACUGACGCUGAGUGUGCGAAAGCUAGGGGAGCAAACGGGAUUAGAUACCCCGGUAGUCCUAGCCGUAAA
RNAcentral lists this ribosomal RNA (335 nucleotides) under uncultured Planctomycetales bacterium. Its description in RNAcentral is "bacterial SSU rRNA". It matches the Rfam family "Bacterial small subunit ribosomal RNA", at positions 473 to 806 of the family's 1533-position model. The record is from RNAcentral. Lineage: Bacteria; Pseudomonadati; Planctomycetota; Planctomycetia; Planctomycetales.